This 467-nucleotide ribosomal RNA is filed under the name uncultured bacterium. RNAcentral's name for it is "partial 16S ribosomal RNA". It matches the Rfam family "Bacterial small subunit ribosomal RNA", at positions 28 to 507 of the family's 1533-position model. The record is from RNAcentral.
GACGAACGCUGGCGGCGUGCUUAACACAUGCAAGUCGAACGGAAAGGCCCUGCUUUUGUGGGGUGCUCGAGUGGCGAACGGGUGAGUAACACGUGAGUAACCUGCCCUUGACUUUGGGAUAACUUCGGGAAACUGGGGCUAAUACCGGAUAGGAGCUCCUGCUGCAUGGUGGGGGUUGGAAAGUUUCGGCGGUUGGGGAUGGACUCGCGGCUUAUCAGCUUGUUGGUGGGGUAGUGGCUUACCAAGGCUUUGACGGGUAGCCGGCCUGAGAGGGUGACCGGCCACAUUGGGACUGAGAUACGGCCCAGACUCCUACGGGAGGCAGCAGUGGGGAAUAUUGCACAAUGGGCGGAAGCCUGAUGCAGCAACGCCGCGUGCGGGAUGACGGCCUUCGGGUUGUAACCGCUUUCGCCUGUGACGAAGCGUGAGUGACGGUAAUGGGUAAAGAAGCACCGGCUAACUACGUG